This 958-nucleotide ribosomal RNA is filed under the name Cibicidoides dispars. RNAcentral describes it as "SSU rRNA". It matches the Rfam family "Eukaryotic small subunit ribosomal RNA", at positions 1161 to 1763 of the family's 1831-position model. Lineage: Eukaryota; Foraminifera; Rotaliida; Anomalinidae. The record is from RNAcentral.
AGGGCACCACAAGAACGCGUGGAGCAUGUGGCUUAAUUUGACUCAACGCGGGAAAUCUUACCGGGUCCGGACACACUGAGGAUUGACAGGCAAUAUUAAUAUUAUUUUAUUAUAUGUAUUAUGUUAAAUAUGCUAGUCCUUUCAUGAUUAUGUGAUAGGUGGUGCAUGGCCGUUCUUAGUUCGUGGAGUGAUCUGUCUGCUUAAUUGCGUUUCACUAAGGGCCUAUAAAUUUACGUAUGUUGCAUCGCACUUUGACCCCUUUCUUAAUUGAAAGCGCGUGUCUUAGUUUCCGCUUUGCUCAUACAAUUAGGUCCUGAAAGCAACGAACGUGACCGCAACCUCUUGUUGCCUUUAUACCAAACAUGUUUAUUCAUUUUUUAAUGUUCAUUCAUGAAAAAAGGCUUUUUAAACUAGAGGGACCGCUGUUACUUUCUUAAACCAGAGGAAGGUUGCGGCAAUAACAGGUCUGUGAUGCCCUUAGAUGUUCCGGGCUGCACACGUGCUACAAUGAUUAUUGCAGUGAGCAUCUCAUUUUUACACACCGCAUGCGCGAGUCCAUUUAUUCACCUUCGGGUGUUUUAAAUGUGUACCUCUGCGCGCGGUAAAGCCUGCUUCGAGAGCAAGUGGGUAAUCAAUUAGAAGUAAUGAUUUCCUUUUUUUUAGCACACAUAUAUACGGCGUCUAUGCCCGGGUUACCUUGUUGUAGCUUUUGUGCGUAUAGAUGUUUUUUCCGUAUGUGCGAUUGUCAAUUCAUGGUGGGGACAGACCAUUGUUAAUUGUUGGUCUCGGUCUUAACUAGGAAUGCCUUGUACGGGUCUUUGGUUCAACAAACCACCCGGAAUACGUCCCUGCCCUUUGUACACACCGCCCGUCGCUCUUACCGAUGGACUUCUCUGUGAGUUUGAGGGACUGGGAACGCAGGAAUUUAUUUCUGCACACCUAUGGAAACUUAAACGAA